CAUUGAUACACCAGUCUCCAUACCAUCACUGAAGUUAAGCAAUGUUGAGCCUAGUUAGUACCUCGAUGGAUGACCGCUUGCGAAUACCAGGUGCU
This is a non-coding RNA of Acanthosepion pharaonis, 95 nucleotides long. The record is from the annotation of a GenBank genome assembly. NCBI's taxonomy places the organism in Eukaryota, Metazoa, Mollusca, Cephalopoda, Sepiida, Sepiidae.